This is a long non-coding RNA of Pundamilia nyererei, 339 nucleotides long. RefSeq lists it as uncharacterized. NCBI's taxonomy places the organism in Eukaryota, Metazoa, Chordata, Actinopteri, Cichliformes, Cichlidae. The transcript has 4 exons. The record is from RefSeq and is a predicted model, not a curated record.
CCCCAACCCAGCCCUGAAAAUCCUGAAUGGAGCAUCCCCUCUCUUUCUGAGGAUGAGGCUCGGGAGGCAUUCAAGAAAUUUGUGUCAUCUCAUAUCUGCUACAGUGAAGAUCCAGUCACUCAGGGAGUCAUCACCUCCAUGGAGCCAUUCAACACAUUUAGGUACCGUCUGGAGACAUUCACUGAGUCCAGGUCAACUGACUGGGCCCACAAACCACAUGAAGGUGAGCCUGCUGACUUUUACACCCAGCCCGCUCCACGACCAUGGGAGGUCCAGGCCACACCCCCCAAACAUUUCAGUGACCACACAGAGAAGAUCCGGGUGCCCUACACGUCCUCC